GGCGGUGUGCCUAAUACAUGCAAGUCGAACGCGUUGGCCCAAUUGAUUGACGGUGCUUGCAUCUGAUUGAUUUUGGUCGCCAACGAGUGGCGGACGGGUGAGUAACACGUAGGUAACCUGCCCAGAAGCGGGGGACAACAUUUGGAAACAGAUGCUAAUACCGCAUAACAGCGUUGUUCGCAUGAACAACGCUUAAAAGAUGGCUUCUCGCUAUCACUUCUGGAUGGACCUGCGGUGCAUUAGCUUGUUGGUGGGGUAACGGCCUACCAAGGCGAUGAUGCAUAGCCGAGUUGAGAGACUGAUCGGCCACAAUGGGACUGAGACACGGCCCAUACUCCUACGGGAGGCAGCAGUAGGGAAUCUUCCACAAUGGGCGCAAGCCUGAUGGAGCAACACCGCGUGAGUGAAGAAGGGUUUCGGCUCGUAAAGCUCUGUUGUUAAAGAAGAACACGUAUGAGAGUAACUGUUCAUACGUUGACGGUAUUUAACCAGAAAGUCACGGCUAACUACGUGCCAGCAGCCGCGGUAAUACGUAGGUGGCAAGCGUUAUCCGGAUUUAUUGGGCGUAAAGAGAGUGCAGGCGGUUUUCUAAGUCUGAUGUGAAAGCCUUCGGCUUAACCGGAGAAGUGCAUCGGAAACUGGAUAACUUGAGUGCAGAAGAGGGUAGUGGAACUCCAUGUGUAGCGGUGGAAUGCGUAGAUAUAUGGAAGAACACCAGUGGCGAAAGCGGCUACCUGGUCUGCAACUGACGCUGAGACUCGAAAGCAUGGGUAGCGAACAGGAUUAGAUACCCUGGUAGUCCAUGCCGUAAACGAUGAGUGCUAGGUGUUGGAGGGUUUCCGCCCUUCAGUGCCGGAGCUAACGCAUUAAGCACUCCGCCUGGGGAGUACGACCGCAAGGUUGAAACUCAAAGGAAUUGACGGGGGCCCGCACAAGCGUGGGAGCAUGUGGUUUAAUUCGAAGCUACGCGAAGAACCUUACCAGGUCUUGACAUCUUGCGCCAACCCUAGAGAUAGGGCGUUUCCUUCGGGAACGCAAUGACAGGUGGUGCAUGUUCGUCGUCAGCUCGUGUCGUGAGA
RNAcentral lists this ribosomal RNA (1079 nucleotides) under Limosilactobacillus fermentum. Its description in RNAcentral is "bacterial SSU rRNA". It matches the Rfam family "Bacterial small subunit ribosomal RNA", at positions 38 to 1072 of the family's 1533-position model. The record is from RNAcentral. Lineage: Bacteria; Bacillati; Bacillota; Bacilli; Lactobacillales; Lactobacillaceae.